AUCAGAUGUCAAGAAAUGUGAGUGAGGCAAGGCAGGAGACAUCAUGACUGUGUUAACUCAUUACACUGCCCGAGAACAUAAAAAUUAUUGCCAGGCUGUUUCUGACCAGUCAUGAAUGUGUCAUUUUAAAGCACAGACUAAUAAGGUGAUGAAAGAUUUUAAGAGAAAAAAGAAGGCAACCCGUCUUAGGAUUUGAAUCAGACAGCUGCGGCAGCAAGCUUGACCAAAGGUUUGGCCAGCUUGCAGUGAAUAUGGCAUUGGAACAUGCAUGAAACAAGGAGGAAAAAAGGAGUUGAGCUGCUGUUGCUUCAAAGGCUGGAUUACUGCCACAUCCCUGAGAUAUCCAAAUUAUGAGUUUGUGCGUCGUGAGCUCAGAAUGAUUUGGGCACGCAGUAGUGACCGUGAAAGUUUCUGGCUUCUCUGCAUUUCUUAGAUAAGCUGCUUGGUUUUGUAACACAUUAAACAGCUAGAAUCGUCUUCCCUGCAAACGCUCGAGUGACCAUCACUCAUCUCCUCAGGCAGGCAGGCAGGCGGUCAAGGACAGUCUGGCUGUCUUGUUCUUCAUCCUGUGGUCCCCUCUGACUGAGCUGGGAAAAUAGAGCUUCCUCAGGUCAGGACUGUCUGUGGAGCUCACUCCCUGGGGAUGCCAGCCAUCGUUCUGCUCCAGCCGUCUUCAGGUCUCCCGGUGCAGCUCUUCAAAGUCAGUACGUUUUUUGGCAGCUCCAUCUUCCCUUUCUUUAAACUUAUUUGAUAUGUUUAAUACAGGGAGGUUGUGAUGUCCACUUAAGUGUCUGCCGUAUCCUAAAAGCCUGGAUAAAAGAUUUAGUUAAAAUUAAAGAAAAAGAUAACAGCGGGUUAAAUUUGUUGUGGUCUGAUUGCGUGGAAGUCUGUAGAGUUACACCUGGAGUGACUCUGGUGUAACGCGUGUGGCAAACUUGUGACUGACAGGAGA
Long non-coding RNA from Chroicocephalus ridibundus (black-headed gull), 952 nucleotides. RefSeq lists it as uncharacterized. The transcript is spliced from 5 exons. NCBI's taxonomy places the organism in Eukaryota, Metazoa, Chordata, Aves, Charadriiformes, Laridae. The record is from RefSeq and is a predicted model, not a curated record.